GCACUCGCUUCAGCAGUACAAUACUAAAUUGGAAUAAUACAGAAAAGAUUAGCAUGGCACCUGCGCAAGAAUGAUACACAAAUUCGUGAAGUGCUCCAUAUUGUU
Nannospalax galili (Upper Galilee mountains blind mole rat) is the source of this 105-nucleotide small nuclear RNA. Lineage: Eukaryota; Metazoa; Chordata; Mammalia; Rodentia; Spalacidae. The record is from Ensembl.